Long non-coding RNA from Sinocyclocheilus grahami, 2776 nucleotides. RefSeq lists it as uncharacterized. The record is from RefSeq and is a predicted model, not a curated record. The transcript is spliced from 3 exons. NCBI's taxonomy places the organism in Eukaryota, Metazoa, Chordata, Actinopteri, Cypriniformes, Cyprinidae.
GACACUGACGCACCGUCAUCCGCUCGAUCCUGCUUUUUUGAGCACAUCGCUUUAAACACGAAUUCAACACCACGUGAGCAUGUAUCGUUAGAAUCAGAAAAAAAAAAUUUGGGAGGUAAGUUCACAUAGGGUGUGUUCUGAAACGGCUUUUAAAUUAGUUUUUUUUUAUCCAGUCAACGCUGUCCCUCAAGCACCCUCUCCAAUGCUCGACAAUGUUUGAAUUUACUUUCCCUUCCCAAAUGACAUGCAAAGGUAAUACAAGUUUAUAUUUCAUAUUUCCAAAUGCCAGAUUUCACACAUUUCUUGUACUCGGUUUCAGGUUGAACUCGGCAAACACCAAACUUAACGGUCGCUGUUUUUCAAAGAGUAUAGCUGCUUAAAAGGCGCCAGUUUCUGAGAGAAUUUUUGUAAAUGCGCCACUUUUCUCUUUAUGUGGUCAAAGAACACAGAAAACGUAUUCAAAAAUAACUAACAAUGUAUUCCUUUAGGUUCUGACAUCACGAAGUAGCGAGAAUCGUCCUUAUACUGCGUAAACUAAAGGAAAACAAACGCCUGAGACGGUAAGACGUUAAAGCUGCCCGUGUUUUUUUCGUCAAAACUCAAGGCAGACUCCGUCCCUGCCCCGUCGAGGGUCAGAAGACGGCCUAUUCCCACGGAGGAGCCCCGUCCUUUCCUGAACACCCGCUCCGGAUGUCAACCGUGAGUACUCCAGCUCUCAAGCGCAUUAAAACACUCGGGUGGACGUGACAACCUCAAAUGGCAUCAGCCGUUCGCGAGCAUAUCUGCCGACUCCAGAAGACCAAUACUGAAGAUUUCAACUUCCAAGAAGAAAAUACUGAUGGCAUCGAGGCACUCUGACAAGUCAAAGUGUGCUGAGGGAAAGUAUAUCCUUGUUUGUGUGUAAUCCCUUUUAACCAGUUACUUGGAGGUAAUCUCAAAACAUUUCAGUGCAGUGUUAAAAAUGAAGACUAAAGUUUUUUGGGGGGGUUUUCCCCCAGGCCUCAAGUCGUUUGAUCGGGCUGGCAGUUCAACACUCGCGGAGUUCAGAGGAAGAAUGAGCGCUCACACUCCAAUGCUUAAAAUCGCAAGCCAGCGCUCCAACACUGUCCGCUUCUUUAAUCCCCACUUUGUCCGUUUAGCAUUCCUCCAAAACUCCGUUCAAGUCCGCUAGUUUUCAUGGGCAAGCUCAUGCCAGGCGAACGCACCGCACAGUCCUCUUUGCGUUCGCUCUCGGUUCUCCUCCCCGUCUGCACGAGCCUGUUGAAGGGGACGGCGGUGUCGCGAGAGCCGGGCGGCUUCAGGUAGGAGUUGAACACCGCUGGUUGGCGCUUUACCCGGGCGCUGCGUUCACGAGCACCACCACCAUGUUCUGAGCACACUCGGAAAAGAUGGUUGUGGGCGUGCGGUGGGGUGGACAACUUGACUACAAUGUUGAAAUUAAGGGAGGAGGGGGCAAGUCGCUGGGGAGCGCGCACGCAGGGCUCUUUAACGGCGGCGCGCACGCAUGAGAACGUCUUGGCGUGGAGUUCAUGUUGUCAUCAAAAGAACAGAAUGUGGCAUCAAAUCUGACCAUCCUCAAAGGUACUCGAGGAACAUACCUGAGAUUCUGGGUGCGUCUUGACCUUUGAUCUAUCAGAUAAAUCACAUCCAAGUGAUAAUCCUCCCACGCUUCCUGUGUCAGAUGUGCAUCAUGUCCAGUUUCUGAGACGUUGUGUUGUGUCAGACGGGAAAAGUUAUAACACAAGAGUGCGUUCAGGAAUUUGACCGACACCAGCCUGUGGAGUCGUCAUGCAUACGUGUACAGCUUUUAUUUCUUAGUGGCUACUUGUGGUCUCUGACUCAAAAAAACAGAGCUGUGGAUUAUUAAACAAACAAGAGUAUAACUAGCUCCACAGUAUUUAGCGCAAAUCUCUUAUCGGUUGUGUACUCGGGCUACUACUUUAUUGCAGAUAUUACAACAUUCACACUUCUAACCCUUCUAAGAAUCAUAAAUACUUAAAAGAAGUGAGCUUUCAUGUGGUGUUGCUCUAUAAAAUGUUUUACACAAAUUGCCCUGUUUGAAACUGUAUUUUGUAUAGAUAAAUGCAUAGAUUGCUGCUAUCAAAAUAGAUAAACAGAUAGCUGACAUAAACUGUACUUUUUAUGAGACCAAAGGUUACGUCAUUGAACGGUGAUCACUAUUUUUAUCGCAGGGAGUUAAAUGAUAUGCUGCGCCAUCUAGUGGACAUUUUAGAUCCUCAUGUUGAAGUGAAUCAACUGCAGCUGCAAAAUCGUUAUCAUUUGUCUCACAAUUCAUCCACGUAUUUAUUCUACUUUUUUUAUUGACUUAAAUAUCCAGUUGAACGUUUAAUUUCCAUAUUGGGUAACUCAAGAGUCACAAAAACAAUUUAAUGUCACCACAGUUGAAACAUGCAAGAAUGUGAACAAACGCAACAAAAUGUAUCAUCUCAUUUACCAACAACUCAUACACCAGUAAUUUGUACAAAGGAAUAUGAUCAAUAUGGAACUGAAGUAAUGAAGUCAAGAUAAACGUUCUACCACAUACGGCAUAUUCACGAUGGAAGCCGGUUUCUACCACGGCAUAAAGAAAAAAUUAAAUAAAAAAGGUAAUUUUGACAUUUGAGCUCACAUUUCAGAGAUAUAAACUCAAUUCUGAGAAAAAAAAAAGUCAGAUCUGCAACAUAGACAUCGAAGAUAUGAAGACUUUUUUUCAAUUCUGGGUUUUUAUCUACCAGUUCUGACUUUUUUUCUCAGAAGUAUUUAUAAGAAUUGUGUA